Molecule: ribosomal RNA, 810 nt
Filed under: Paratomella rubra
Lineage: Eukaryota; Metazoa; Xenacoelomorpha; Acoela; Paratomellidae
Description: small subunit ribosomal RNA
Source: RNAcentral
UUAGUAGUAGUUUAAUAAUUGAGAAUGGUUUAUUGUUAAUARAAUGGUAUAUAGGUAUAUUURSUAUUUACUUUAGUUUAUAUAAAAUGAAAUAUUGAAGCUAUUUUGAAAUGUUAAUUAAGUGAAAAUUGAAUUGAUUUGAUUUAUACAUAAUUAAAUUUAUUAAUAAAAUSUAAUUAGAUUUUGAUAGUAUUUAACAAUAAUAGUAAUUGAUUAUAAGUAAAUUAUUAGGGGGUUAAGAUAAGUGCCAGCAAUCGCGGUUAAACUUUUCUCUAAAUUAUGUUUAUGAAGUUAAAGUAAUAAUAAUCUUAUAUGUAAGUAAAAUUAAAGUAAUAUUAUUUAUUUCUUGAAAAUAAGACUAUAAAAUAAACUUGGAUUAGAUACCCAAUUAUUAUAGAGGUUGUAUAUAUAUAUAUUAUAURURUUUUAGUAAUAUAGAAUUUUAUAAAAAGUAAAUUAUAAAUCUGAUGGUGGGUGUGAAUAUUAGGGGAGUUUAGUUAUUAGAAUCUGAUAAUACGCAACAAAUUUACCUUAUUUAUGGUUUGUAUAUCUUUGUUUAUAUCUAAUUAUAAAUUAUUUAUUAAAUUAUUUUUUUUAUUCAGAUCGAGAUGCAGCAAAUAAGGGAAUAAUAAACUACGAUUAAAGGAAUAUAUUUUUAAUAUAUGGUUGUAAAUAUUAAUAUUAAGGACUUAAAAGUAAUUUUUUUUAGUAUAGGAAGAUGAAUAAUAAUUCAUCCAUAUACAAACUGCCCAAUGAUUACCUUUAGGGUUUAAGUUGUCACAAGGUAAGUUUACUAGAAAGUGGACUUAG